UACGUAGGGGGCAAGCGUUGUCCGGAAUCAUUGGGCGUAAAGCGCGUGUAGGCGGCUCGAUAAGUCUGCUGUGAAAGUCCAAGGCUCAACCUUGGGAUGCCGGUGGAUACUGUCGAGCUCGAGUCCGGAAGAGGAGUGUGGAAUUCCUGGUGUAGCGGUGAAAUGCGCAGAUAUCAGGAGGAACACCGGUGGCGAAGGCGGGUCUCUGGGCCGUAACUGACGCUGAGGAGCGAAAGCGUGGGGAGCGAACAGG
RNAcentral lists this ribosomal RNA (253 nucleotides) under uncultured bacterium. RNAcentral's name for it is "partial 16S ribosomal RNA". It matches the Rfam family "Bacterial small subunit ribosomal RNA", at positions 524 to 776 of the family's 1533-position model. The record is from RNAcentral.